RNAcentral lists this small nuclear RNA (67 nucleotides) under Cervus elaphus hippelaphus. The record is from RNAcentral. Lineage: Eukaryota; Metazoa; Chordata; Mammalia; Artiodactyla; Cervidae.
CUUUGCCCAGUGGCAGCAUCGUAGCCAAGGAUGUGUAUCUGCGGCACAAUUAUUGGUAAUUGAAAAC